This 253-nucleotide ribosomal RNA is filed under the name uncultured bacterium. RNAcentral's name for it is "partial 16S ribosomal RNA". It matches the Rfam family "Bacterial small subunit ribosomal RNA", at positions 524 to 776 of the family's 1533-position model. The record is from RNAcentral.
UACAGAGGUGGCAAGCGUUGUUCGGAAUUACUGGGCGUAAAGGGCGCGUAGGCGGCUUGGUCAGUCCCGUGUGAAAUCCCUCGGCUCAACUGAGGAACUGCACGGGAAACUGCCUGGCUUGAGUUCGGGAGAGGGAAGCGGAAUUCCGGGUGUAGCGGUGAAAUGCGUAGAUAUCCGGAGGAACACCGGUGGCGAAGGCGGCUGCCUGGACCGACACUGACGCUGAGGCGCGAAAGCUAGGGGAGCAAACGGG